Callithrix jacchus (white-tufted-ear marmoset) is the source of this 299-nucleotide unclassified non-coding RNA. It matches the Rfam family "Metazoan signal recognition particle RNA". From Rfam's summary of the family: The signal recognition particle (SRP) is a universally conserved ribonucleoprotein. It is involved in the co-translational targeting of proteins to membranes. The record is from Ensembl. Lineage: Eukaryota; Metazoa; Chordata; Mammalia; Primates; Cebidae.
GCAGGGAGCAGUGAUGUGUGCCUGUAGUCCCAGUUACUACGGAGGCUGAGGUGGGAGGAUCGCUUGAGCCCAGGAGUUCUGGGCUGUAGUACGCUAUGCUGAUCGGGUGUCCUCACUAAGUUCGGCAUCAGUAUGGUGACCUCUGGAAGCCAGGGAACACCAGGUUGCCUAAAAAAAGGUGAACCCACCCAGUUCGGAAAUGGAGUAGGUCAAAACUCCCCUGCUGAUCAGUAGUGGUAUCACGCCCGUGAAUAGCCACUGCACUCCAGCCUGGGCAACAUAGCAAGACCCUGUGUCUU